AGCGGUUUCCGUUACAUUUGUAGUCAUCCACAUGAGAACCUUUCUCGGCCUUCACUGGUCGGUUGGGGGAUCAUGUACUUUACUUUGAAAAAAUCAGAGUGUUUCAGGCAGGCGUUUGCAUGAAUACACAAGCAUGGAAUAAUGGAAUAGGACUAGGGUCCAUUUUAUUGGUUAUUGGACCAUAGUAAUGAUUAAUAGGGACAGUUGGGGGCAUUAGUAUUUAAUUGUCAGAGGUGAAAUUCUUGGAUUUUAUUAAAGACUAACUUAUGCGAAAGCAUUUGCCAAGGAUGUUUUCAUUAAUCAAGAACGAAAGUUAGGGGAUCAAAGACGAUCAGAUACCGUCCUAGUCUUAACUAUAAACUAUACCGACUAGGGAUUGGUUGGGUCAUUAGAGCCCAAUCAGCACCUUAU
RNAcentral lists this ribosomal RNA (411 nucleotides) under uncultured eukaryote. RNAcentral's name for it is "SSU rRNA". It matches the Rfam family "Eukaryotic small subunit ribosomal RNA", at positions 673 to 1091 of the family's 1831-position model. The record is from RNAcentral.